GGCCGGGACAAAGCCUGGGCCGGGCCUGCGCUUCCGUUCGCUUGACUGGCUGCGCUUGUUUUCAGGGUUUUGGUCUGAAAACGGAUCUUACCUGCGCAGAGCAAAAUCGGUUGUAGAUUAUAUCCACGAAAAUUCCUUCUAUUAAAAUGAAUUUCAAGUCCCACCUACCCUGGAAGCAGAAAGAGAGAGAAGAGAGAGAGUAAAGAGAAAGAGAAAAGAAAGAGAAGUUGAAAAAGAGAAAGAAAACCAAGAAAGAAAGAGAAAAAAACCGAAAAUAAAUGGACAAGAAAGAAAAGUCACUGGGAUCCUGGACUACGGCACUGCUCCAGGCAGGCCUGGUUAUCCUGCUUGAGGCAGCAAUCCUCUUGAGCCUAGUGAAAUGCAACUGGCUGUACCUCAAUGAUGUUGCCCUGAGAUUCUGCCAGUCGAGGUAUUACUUCAAUCUCCUGAGACCAGCCUCUACCUCCAGAUCCAGGGAGGCCAACGUGCCAUGCAUCCCUGGAGCAUGAAACCCAGGAUGGGCCGCCUUCCAGCCUCCCACAGCUGUGAUGCAAGUUGAACACAUACAGAGAGACUGCAUCUGCACUGGGUGGUUUUCCUGAGCCUUGGGGAGCAGAAUGCAUGAAUCCCAGAUGGAGGAAGUGGACCAUGAGUCAAAGGAUGUAAGUGGCCUCUGGAACCUACAAAGGGCUCAUAAACAGAAGAGACUUGCUUGUCUCAGAUGAAACUUUGGACUGUGGACUUUUGAGUUAAUGCUGAAAUAAGACUUUGGGGGACUGUUGGGGAGGCAUGAUUGGUUUUGAAAUGUGAGGACAUGAGAUUUGGGAGGGACCAGGGGCAAAAUGAUAUGGUUUGGCUGUGUCCCCACCAAAUCUCAUCUUGAAUUGCAGCUCCCAUGAUCCCCACAUGUGGGAGGGACCCGGGGGGAGGUAACUGAAUCAUGGGGGUGGGAUUUUCCCAUGCUGUUCUCAUGAUAGUGAAUAAAUCUCAUGAGAUCUUAUGGUUUUAUAAAGGGCAGUUUCCCUGCACGGGCUCUCUCUUGCCCGCCACCACGUAAGACAUGUGUUUGCUCCUCCUUCACCUUCUGCCAUGAUUGUGAGGUCUCUCUAGCCGUGUGAAACUGUGAGUCCAUUAAACUUCUUUUUCUUUAUAA
RNAcentral lists this long non-coding RNA (1153 nucleotides) under Homo sapiens (human). RNAcentral describes it as "HSALNT0398632". The record is from RNAcentral. Lineage: Eukaryota; Metazoa; Chordata; Mammalia; Primates; Hominidae.